CUUUAAAUAUAAAUAAUGUCAAAAAAAAAAUUCAUAAAAUUUUCUUUCCCUCCUCUUUAAGAACAUUGUAAGUUUGUAACAUUAUAACAUACCAAACUCUAAAAAGAUUGAAAAAAAUACUAAUAAUAUUUCCAUUUUACCAGGAUUACAAAAAAUCUUUGACCCAAACCCGACCUAACUCGGCAAUCAAGUCAGGUUCGUGUGCAGUAUUUUUUCACCUUUUCGAGUUGGCACUGAGAACUAUCCAUUCCUAUUCACAAUUUGUCGAAGAAAAAGAUUGGAUAAGUCAGUAACUUAAGAACGUUACUAAUGUUUUGAAGAAGAAAAAUUCAGUAACGAAACAACGUUAUCAAUGUUUCCCAAAAUAUGUUCUACUUUCUGUUUAUAUAAAGUAUAAAAAUUAAACAAUGAACAUCGAUUAAAUUGUUGCAAAUUCAUCACAAACUCAAAAGAAUUUCUUAAUUGAAUCUGCGAGUUUAUUUAUCACCUCUUGUAAAUUCUGUGAUGGAUUCCAAUGUUGAAAGCAGUAACAACAUUGUUGAGUCGAAGGGGGAAAUGAAAGGCAAUGAAGGGAAGAAACCGAACAAUGAUGUUAAUCUGAAAGAGAAGUUCAAUAAACGUGGUUUUGGUCUUCUUCAGGGAAAGAAGUUCCAGUCUGGUUCAGUCUAUUGUGGUUGGUGUACCGGCUGUCCCGGAACCGGCUAAUGAUGCAUGUACUUUCAACUUUAUUUUCACAAUAAAUCUGUU
This 747-nucleotide long non-coding RNA is filed under the name Zostera marina. Its description in RNAcentral is "long non-coding RNA (ZMAR_LNC004788)". The record is from RNAcentral. Lineage: Eukaryota; Viridiplantae; Streptophyta; Magnoliopsida; Alismatales; Zosteraceae.